This 2707-nucleotide long non-coding RNA is filed under the name Sus scrofa (pig). Its description in RNAcentral is "lncRNA (ENSSSCG00015052427.1)". The record is from RNAcentral. Lineage: Eukaryota; Metazoa; Chordata; Mammalia; Artiodactyla; Suidae.
AGUAUUUUCAAUCCAUGGUUGGUUGAAUCCACGGAUGUGGAACCCAUGGAUAUGGAGCUGUCAUUAUUCUGUGAGUAGGGAGAACUUGUCUCACGGGUUCUUCUCAAUGCAUGCUCUCCUCUUUCAAAAUUUUCUAAACUCAUAUUUAUUUAUUUUUCAAAGUUUCUGGCUGCAGCUUGUGGAAGUUCCUGGGCUGACCUGGGUGAUGGACCAUGCCACAGCAGGGGCCAAAGCCACUACAGUGGCAAUGCAGGACACCUAAACCCCUUUUGGUUUAGUUUGGUUUUGGGUUUUUUGGUUGCUUUUUGUUGUUGUUGUUUUUCCCACCAAACUCAAAGUCCCUUAUGCUUUCUAUUUAGGUCAGGCUAAGCUAAUUGCUUUAAUGAUUCUGCAUCACCUAUAAAUGUUUUUUUCCAUUUGAACAGGAAUAGUAGGACCAUUCAACAGUACCUUUUCUAUGAAGAAGUAUGCUUUCUAGAGUGAGAAUAGGAGUUACCAUGAGAAAUAAACUGUCCAGAUUCAUGCGUUUGUACUACCAAUAUCCUUUCCUCUCCAAGUUCAAUGAUCAAAGGCACUGGAACCCUAGCACCCUCCCAUUUCCUCCCUUCCUCACUCACUCUCUCUGUGAAUGGUCCUAAUAGUGAAAAGAACAGAAACAAGCAAGCAGUACCUGGAGAAAUAAAUGCCAAAGAGGUAAGAAGGGCUCAUCUCCGAAUUCAUCAAUUAGGACAGAAGCACAUUCAUUAAUUAGGACAGAAUGGCCCUGAGAAGUAGUUUAGGAAUUAAGAGAAACACACAAAAGAAGAACAGAAAUAAGGCCAAACAUCUUUUAAAGUCCCUUAAAAAGAAUACAAAAUACAGGGGCCUUUAUGUCUAAGACUCCGAAUUACAGUAACUUUUAACUUAGAAUUUUUAACCUUGGAUCGCUCCUGUUUUUCAAUGCCCAGUUCUAGUACCUCCCUACCCCCUCAAGAAAUACUCAUUAGAAAAUAUUCUUGCUUUUAAUGACUACUUCAGGGUCAGAGGAAAAUGGCUAGAGACCAGACCCAUUUUUGGUGUCUCGGGUGAAGAAAGACCAUUUCCAGUUGGGAUUGUUCAGUGGUGGCAGCAAGGAACGAGCGGACAGUGAGGACCCCAAGGUCCCGAAAUAAUGGCUUUGGCAUUCCCAUGCCUCAGAGACUGAAGUACAGAGCUGCUCACAGUUGUUAUUCUCUGCCUUCUAGCUUUGCACUAGCUACAAAACCCAGCAUGAAACUGUUGCUCUCUUGUGAAGAUUACAGUAAUUUUCAUAAAAAAGACAAAAGUGAAAAAAAAAAAAUUCAUGGAAUCCAGAGGUUUACACAAGAAUAUCUGGAGAUCAACAGAAACAACCUACUUCACUAUAUGGAAGAGAAAAAAUGAGCCUCAGAGAUGGACAUCUUGCUCAAGACCAUACAGUGACAGAGGCUCAAGUCCAGAGAUACUUAUCCCUUUCUAGUCCAGAAUCAUUUUUAUUAUAUUACGGCAGUGAUUAUGAUAUGAGUGGGAAAGAGUGCUGGAGUUGGGUUCCAAAGAAAAGGACGAGAAUCCGGCCAAGCCUCGGGCAAGUCCCUUCCCCACUAGACCCUGUAUUUCCACUCUCCUGUGACAGGCACGAUGCUUGCUACGUGACUAGGUUAUUUUCUAAAGCAAUACUAUAUAUUUGUACAGUACAGACUGUGGAAUACAAAUAUCCAAGGUGAUCUAGCCAUCUGUGUGCUUCAGCAGCAAAGGAACCCAACAGGCCAGCCAAUGACCUAUCUCCUCAUAGAGCAAGAAGUCCAAAAAUGGGAGGGUGUCAGGAAUGGGAAAAUCAAGGCUCUUACACCAGUUGUUGUGAUUCUCUUGGCUCUUCACUCCUCCACAGCCGGCCUGUCCUUAGGGUUAUCAUCCCCUCAAAUUGCCAAAGACAGAAAAACCUCUUUUCCCACUGUGGAAUAAAAAUCCUUUCUUUCAGACUGAUUGGGCCAGAAAAUAUUUUGGACUUUAUCUUCUUCUUCGCUAGCUGAGCUGUUAAGACGACCUAAACAAGCAAUGUUGGAAAUAUUUAAGGGCCAUUAUGCUGGCUCCCACUACAGGCAUGUACACCCCAAGGCUGACAGUCUGAGUUCUUCAAAAUGUAGGGGGUCUUCCACUGUAAAUCAGCUAUACUUCAAUUCCAAAAAAAAAAAAAAUGUAGGGGGUCUUAUUGGUAUCUUGCUGAGUCUAUUUUCCCUAAAAACAUCCAUGAAUUGCUUAAUACCAUGUACUUCCAUGAGACACUCAAAAGCGAUUGAGGGUAUCUUAUCAGUGGGUUUCAGUCUGUGCAUCCUUCUACAAAAAUCCAUGAAACCCUCUCCUUUUGAGUUUCACGAAAUCCAUUUCUCUCUUAUUUCAGUCUGAGCACUGCAAUCCGGCUCUACAGGUAGCAAAUUGAAAUGUUUAGUGGCCCAUUGCAGACAGAUUGAAUCUGAAAAGAAUACGGCCAUAAGAAAGAAGCAAAGCAUCAAUAUCAUAUAGUAAAGCUCUCGCCAACGACAGUGAUGAUGUAGGUGAAUGAUUGAGCAUUUGUUAAACUUCUACCAUUGUGAAAAUAACCUAUUAUUUUCCUGGUUGUGCACUGAAAUGCCUCAAUCACCAAUAGAACAAGUCAGUAAAAAUGAUACAGUUUAUUUUCUAUCAUUGCUGUUCUAUGGGGACAGUGUGGCAU